AUUGAACGCUGGCGGCAUGCCUUACACAUGCAAGUCGAACGGCAGCAUGAUCUAGCUUGCUAGAUUGAUGGCGAGUGGCGAACGGGUGAGUAAUACAUCGGAACGUGCCCUGUAGUGGGGGAUAACUAGUCGAAAGAUUAGCUAAUACCGCAUACGACCUGAGGGUGAAAAUGGGGGACCACAAGGCCUCAUGCUAUAGGAGCGGCCGAUGUCUGAUUAGCUAGUUGGUGAGGUAAAGGCUCACCAAGGCGACGAUCAGUAGCUGGUCUGAGAGGACGAUCAGCCACACUGGGACUGAGACACGGCCCAGACUCCUACGGGAGGCAGCAGUGGGGAAUUUUGGACAAUGGGCGAAAGCCUGAUCCAGCAAUGCCGCGUGUGUGAAGAAGGCCUUCGGGUUGUAAAGCACUUUUGUCCGGAAAGAAAUGGCUCUGGUUAAUACCUGGGGUCGAUGACGGUACCGGAAGAAUAAGGACCGGCUAACUACGUG
This 490-nucleotide ribosomal RNA is filed under the name uncultured bacterium. RNAcentral's name for it is "partial 16S ribosomal RNA". It matches the Rfam family "Bacterial small subunit ribosomal RNA", at positions 30 to 507 of the family's 1533-position model. The record is from RNAcentral.